GAGGGUAUAGCUCAGAGGUAAAGUGCAUGCUUAGCGUGCACGAGGUCCUGGGUUCAAUCCCCACUGCCGCCA
This 72-nucleotide transfer RNA is filed under the name Camelus bactrianus (Bactrian camel). It matches the Rfam family "tRNA". From Rfam's summary of the family: Transfer RNA (tRNA) molecules are approximately 80 nucleotides in length. Their secondary structure includes four short double-helical elements and three loops (D, anti-codon, and T loops). RNAcentral also lists the same sequence under 2 other names. Lineage: Eukaryota; Metazoa; Chordata; Mammalia; Artiodactyla; Camelidae. The record is from Rfam by way of RNAcentral.